GCCGAGGUAGCCAACGUGGUCACGGCACACGCCUGAAGAGCGUGGGAUGUGGGUUCGAUUCCCACCCUCGGCACCA
Molecule: transfer RNA, 76 nt
Filed under: candidate division WWE3 bacterium CG_4_10_14_0_2_um_filter_47_8
Lineage: Bacteria; candidate division WWE3
Also listed under: 3 other names
Description: tRNA-Phe
Rfam family: tRNA
About the family: Transfer RNA (tRNA) molecules are approximately 80 nucleotides in length.
Source: RNAcentral